Molecule: long non-coding RNA, 2318 nt
Organism: Onychostoma macrolepis
Lineage: Eukaryota; Metazoa; Chordata; Actinopteri; Cypriniformes; Cyprinidae
Exons: 5
Source: RefSeq, a predicted model, not a curated record
GAAAAUAGAAUUAGAGAAUUAAACAAAAAAUAAAUCACGGUUUUCAUACGUGACUCUGGACCACAAAACCAGUCAUAAGUAGCAUGGGUAUAUUUGUAGCAAUAGCCAACAAUACAUUGAUUGGGUCAAAAUUAUCGAUUUUGUUUUAUUCCAAAAAUCAUUAGGAUAUUAAAGUAAAGACCAUGUUCCGUGAAGAUAUUUUGUAAAUUUAUAAAUAUAUCAAAACAUAAUUUUUGAUUAGUGAUAUGCAUUGCUAAGAACUUCUUUUGGACAACUUUAAAAGCGAUUUUCUCAAUAUUUAGAUUUUUUUUUUUUUUUUUUGCACCCUCAGAUUCAGCAAAAUCUCCAGUGUUGAAAUCCUCGUGUUAAGGACUUUUAGAGUAAAGUGUUAAAGUUGUGGUGUUGAACUCGUGCUACAGGCUGCAGCGAGGACCUCUUGGAACACUCCGUCGAGUGUUAUUAGUCACAUCCGGGACAUUUGCUAGUGUGCGCGCCUGACCCAUCUGGAAUAUUUUCGACAGACGCCAUUUUCUCAGCAUAUGAGGACGGAAAACAGCUAAAUUAAGUGUUUAAUCUUACUCACAAUAACUGUUUUGUAAUAUCAUAUCGUUUUAUAGCGAUAUUUAUGAGGUAUGUGUGCCUAAACGUUUUUUAAAACAUUUUCUUCCACUCGCGUGAGGCGGACAAGACAAGGAAGUUUCUUUUUAAAAGGAAAACGCCGAAAGUUAAGUGUUAUAUCUCAUUUAUCAUACGUAUUUCACAACAUCAUACUGAUUUAUAGUGAUUUGUGUGAUGUGCACUCCUAAACUUUUUCUCAGAAAGAUAUUUUCCUUCACUCAUGAUGCGGAGAAGACGGGGAAAUUGGUUUUAUCGAGGAAAACACCGAAAAUGCAUUUGAACGGCUAUGCAUUGACACGGAAGUCGCUUUUAACAGGGCAAACAUAAGUAAGAGACUAUUUUUUUCACUCGUGAUCAGAAGCAAACACCGAAAGUUGUUCAUGCUGGCUUAACAGAAAAAUCAAAAGAUGAUGUGCUUGAAGAGUUUGAAGCCACCAAUAUAUUAAGUGGGAUGAGAAGAGCUUUGUUAGGACACAUACCGAAGACAUGGGAGCACUUUUGUGAUGCUGCAAGUGGGAGUUGGGUAUCUUGCUUGAGAUGAAACAUCUCGUUUUUGCUGAAACUACUCUUUACAAGGAAGUCCAAACACCAGUAGCAGAGACUUUGUUCAGUGAGCAUUAACAUGCAUUCUGCCUGGAUGCUAAUGAAUGGGAUGCUGUUGUUUAAGCUGAUAAAUGUAAGCAUUAUAAACAUUAAGAGAUUAAACUUAUGACAUUAAGUGUACAUAUGGACCAAAUAAGAAUAUGUAUUUUGUGCCUUUGCACUGAUUUGCUUUGACAUUAUGAUGCUUUAAUUGUUGUAAGAACAUGUUCUUUACAUGCAUUGAAAACAUGCAUUUGGUGCAGGGAAAAAGAUUUACAAUGUUUCAAUUAAAAAUCAAUAGUUGUAAAUGUGUAUUGUUUUGUGGGUUUAUUUUUUAAUAUUUUACCUGAACAUUGGUGCAGUGUUCACCAGUUGAGGGAGUUAAAUUCACUCUUUAAAAUUUGCAGUGUAGGUAUAUGUUUUAAUCUGCGUUACCAUUUUAAAAUAAGUAUUUACAAUAUUUACAUUAAAUCAACACGCUGGGUGUGUAGGAUUAAUCACCAUAAAGUGUUAAAUGUGUAUACUUGCGAGUAAUAAUUUCUUAACACCCUGAGUGAUUAAAAUUAAACGCUAACACAGUGUUUGUAUAAUAAACACUUCCGUCAGUGUUGUUUUAACACUAGCAAAGAUGGACCUGUAUGUUCACCCGGAAAGUGAUAAUUUUAACACCCAUGGUGACAAAUCUCCCAACAUAUUUUUGCUGUGCAGAUUUUCAAAUAGUUGUAUCUCAGCCAAAUAUUGUCCUAUUCUAACAAACCAUACGUCUAUGGAAAGUUUGUUUAUUCAGCUCAGUUUUAAAAAAAUGUACCCUUAUGACUGGUUUUGUGGUCCAGGGUCACAUAUUAUUUAUAAUAAUAAGCAAUGUUUCUUGAGCCCCAAGAAUCAUGUGACACUGCAAACUGGAGUAAUGGCUGCUGAAAAUUCAGUUUUGCCAUCACAGGAAUAAAUUACAUUUAACAAUAUUAAAAUACAAAACAGUUGUUUGAAAUUGUAAUAGUAUUUUACAAUAUUACUGUUUUUACUGUAUUUUUGACCAAAUAAAUGCAGCCUUGGUGAGCAUAAGAGACUUCUUUCAAAAAGAUUAUAUUACAUAGCCAGCAUUGUUGAUGUGCUGUGUU